Molecule: ribosomal RNA, 304 nt
Filed under: uncultured bacterium
Lineage: Bacteria
Description: partial 16S ribosomal RNA
Rfam family: Archaeal small subunit ribosomal RNA
Source: RNAcentral
CAGCAGCAGCCGCGGUAAAACCAGCACCUCGAGUGGUCAGGAGGUUUAUUGGGCCUAAAGCAUCCGUAGCCGGUUGCAUAAGUUUUCGGUUAAAUCUAUGCGCUUAACGUAUAGGCCGCCGAAAAUACUGUGCAGCUAGGGAGUGGGAGAGGUACACGGUACUCGAUAGGAAGGGGUAAAAUCCUUUGAUCUAUUGAUGACCACCUGUGGCGAAGGCGGUGUACCAGAACACGUUCGACGGUGAGGAAUGAAAGCUGGGGGAGCAAACCGGAUUAGAUACCCCGGUAGUCCCUGUCUUCUUAUA